RNAcentral lists this unclassified non-coding RNA (163 nucleotides) under uncultured fungus. RNAcentral's name for it is "sequence contains ITS1, 5.8S rRNA gene". Lineage: Eukaryota; Fungi. The record is from RNAcentral.
CAGAGUUCAUGCCCUAACGGGUAGACCUCCCACCCUUUGUUAUACCUACCUUUGUUGCUUUGGCAGGCCGCCUUCGGGCUACCGGCUUCGGCUGGUGCGUGCCUGCCAGAGGACCCCAAACUCUGAAUUUUAAUCAUAUUGUCUGAGUACUAUAUAAUAGUUA